Molecule: transfer RNA, 70 nt
Filed under: Potamilus alatus
Lineage: Eukaryota; Metazoa; Mollusca; Bivalvia; Unionida; Unionidae
Description: tRNA-Asn
Rfam family: tRNA
About the family: Transfer RNA (tRNA) molecules are approximately 80 nucleotides in length.
Source: RNAcentral
UGGGUAAAAGCUUCCCACAUUAAAGCAACUGGCUGUUAACUAGUAGACCGCGAUCAACUCGCUUACCCGC